This 253-nucleotide ribosomal RNA is filed under the name uncultured bacterium. Its description in RNAcentral is "partial 16S ribosomal RNA". It matches the Rfam family "Bacterial small subunit ribosomal RNA", at positions 524 to 776 of the family's 1533-position model. The record is from RNAcentral.
UACGUAGGGUGCGAGCGUUACUCGGAAUUACUGGGCGUAAAGCGUGCGCAGGCGGUUGUGCAAGACAGAUGUGAAAUCCCCGGGCUUAACCUGGGAAUGGCAUUUGUGACUGCACGGCUAGAGUGUGUCAGAGGGGGGUAGAAUUCCACGUGUAGCAGUGAAAUGCGUAGAUAUGUGGAGGAAUACCGAUGGCGAAGGCAGCCCCCUGGGAUAACACUGACGCUCAUGCACGAAAGCGUGGGGAGCAAACAGG